CUCCUGGCUGGCUCGGCCAUGUUUUAGUCUGAUGCCGUCUGCGUUAUUCGACGGUGACUUCCGCGUAUCAACUGCAGUAACGGAGUUUGUGGCUUUGUGUGUCCCAUAUGGUCUAGCGGUUAGGAUUCCUGGUUUUCACCCAGGCGGCCCGGGUUCGACUCCCGGUAUGGGAAUUGUAGCUUUUGACCUGGAGGAAGCGACUUCAGUCGUAGAUAGGGCUGGGUACUGAACCUCAUUACUUUUGUGGUGCCGACCGCAAUGCUCCAUUCCUAGCAGGGAUCCAAAAACGUAUUUUCUUUCGGUGUGAAAUUCCGAUAAGCAAACAAGACUGUGAGGACAUCGGCAUCCGAGACAGCAGAGGACUGAAUGCCUGCUUCCGUAGGCAUAUAAAAUGGCAGGUUCUGAAGACAAAGUCCGUCUGCGUUUCAAGGCACCUGUAGCAUGUGCCUUAAUACUGGAUCAACUGGGAAAAGCAGAAGAGGAAGACCCAUUGUCACCAAACCUCAAGCGAAGCGGAGACCAAAGCACCCCCCGAGAUCAGGUUUGCCCCUGGGAACCACUGGGCCCAGCUCAGCAAAGCCAGACAUGCCAACUGAUGCCAUCAUGGUGGGUGUACAAGAAAAAGGAAGUACAUCUGCUCGCAGUGCUGUGAGCCUUUGUACCCCGGAAGAAGUUCUCACAGAAAUACAAUAGAGCAUCGUAACUCUUGGGGCUUUAUUUUGAAUUAAUUUGAAGUGUUGUUUGCACUAUUUUAAUUGACAUGCGUAUGAUUUUUUAGGCUUAACUUUUUAUAAAUAAAUUUGAUAUUUGGUUUGCUGUUAAAUAGUAGCACUAAAACUGGCAAUAAAAUGAGCAUCACGCUGCUUAUAUUCUGAAGCUGCUUUAACUGUCAUUUGAAGAGUUCGUUUUCACCUAUAAGUGCAUUAAUGGUGUGGUGUUUUGAAUAAAAUUUCAGCUUAUGUA
Brienomyrus brachyistius is the source of this 963-nucleotide long non-coding RNA. RefSeq lists it as uncharacterized. The transcript has 2 exons. Lineage: Eukaryota; Metazoa; Chordata; Actinopteri; Osteoglossiformes; Mormyridae. The record is from RefSeq and is a predicted model, not a curated record.